GACGAACGCUGGCGGCGUGCUUAACACAUGCAAGUCGAACGGAAAGGCCCUGCUUUUGUGGGGUGCUCGAGUGGCGAACGGGUGAGUAACACGUGAGUAACCUGCCCUUGACUUUGGGAUAACUUCAGGAAACUGGGGCUAAUACCGGAUAGGAGCUCCUGCUGCAUGGUGGGGGUUGGAAAGUUUCGGCGGUUGGGGAUGGACUCGCGGCUUAUCAGCUUGUUGGUGGGGUAGUGGCUUACCAAGGCUUUGACGGGUAGCCGGCCUGAGAGGGUGACCGGUCACAUUGGGACUGAGAUACGGCCCAGACUCCUACGGGAGGCAGCAGUGGGGAAUAUUGCACAAUGGGCGGAAGCCUGAUGCAGCAACGCCGCGUGCGGGAUGACGGCCUUCGGGUUGUAAACCGCUUUCGCCUGUGACGAAGCGUGAGUGACGGUAAUAGGUAAAGAAGCACCGGCUAACUACGUG
Molecule: ribosomal RNA, 468 nt
Filed under: uncultured bacterium
Lineage: Bacteria
Description: partial 16S ribosomal RNA
Rfam family: Bacterial small subunit ribosomal RNA
Source: RNAcentral